AUGGCCAUAUAGCAUUGAAACAAUGGUUCCCAUACAAUCACUAAAGUUAAGCAACAUUGAUCCUGGUCAGUACUUAGAUGGGUAACCACCUGGGAAUACCAGGUAUUGUAAG
Acanthosepion pharaonis is the source of this 112-nucleotide non-coding RNA. Lineage: Eukaryota; Metazoa; Mollusca; Cephalopoda; Sepiida; Sepiidae. The record is from the annotation of a GenBank genome assembly.